This 273-nucleotide small nuclear RNA is filed under the name Neotoma lepida (desert woodrat). RNAcentral describes it as "7SK RNA". It matches the Rfam family "7SK RNA". Rfam says of the family: 7SK was discovered as an abundant small nuclear RNA in the mid-70s but a possible function has only recently been suggested. The record is from Rfam by way of RNAcentral. Lineage: Eukaryota; Metazoa; Chordata; Mammalia; Rodentia; Cricetidae.
AAUUGUGAGGAAAACCAGGAAGAGAUAUCUGUCAUACCAUUGGUUGCUAGGGUUAAAUCAGCUGAUUUGAAUGGGUUUCCCCUUCCAUCUUCAUUCCUCUUAUGGCCUGCUUUGUCAAAGAGGACGUCCUUCUAGGAACAGAGAAGGAGAAGUCUUUGUCAAAGGUAUUNAAGUAGCCACAUACCCUGCUAGAACCUCCAAACAAGCUUCUUACUAAGAACAAUUACACUGAAGGCAGAACAAACACAAAACAAACCUAUUGAAUUUGAAAAU